Panthera pardus (leopard) is the source of this 125-nucleotide ribosomal RNA. Lineage: Eukaryota; Metazoa; Chordata; Mammalia; Carnivora; Felidae. The record is from Ensembl.
GUCUACGGCCAUACCACCCUGAACGCGCCCGAUCUCGUCUGAUCUCGGAAGCUAAGCAGGGUCGGGCCUGGUUAGUAUUUGGAUGGGAGAAUAGUAUCUUCCUCAUAGGUUGUUAGCUUUAAGUG